GUUCAGGGAUGGGAAACGAACCCACAAUGUUCCGCUUACCGGGCAGAUGCCAUGUCCACUAGGCUACCCUGGA
Cordylochernes scorpioides is the source of this 73-nucleotide non-coding RNA. NCBI's taxonomy places the organism in Eukaryota, Metazoa, Arthropoda, Arachnida, Pseudoscorpiones, Chernetidae. The record is from the annotation of a GenBank genome assembly.